GGGCCCGCACAAGCGGUGGAGCAUGUGGUUUAAUUCGAUGAUACGCGAGGAACCUUACCAGGGCUUAAAUGUAAGUUGCAUGGAUCAGAGAUGAUCCUUUCUUCGGACCACUUACAAGGUGCUGCAUGGUUGUCGUCAGCUCGUGCCGUGAGGUGUCAGGUUAAGUCCUAUAACGAGCGCAACCCCUAUCGUUAGUUGCCAGCAAGUAAAGUUGGGUACUCUAGCGAAACUGCCGGUGCAAACCGAGAGGAAGGUGGGGAUGACGUCAAAUCAUCACGGCCCUUACGUUCUGGGCUACACACGUGCUACAAUGGUCGGUACAGAAAGCAGCCACUAUGCGAAUAGGAGCGAAUCUUCAAAGCCGAUCACAGUUCGGAUUGGAGUCUGCAACUCGACUCUAUGAAGCUGGAAUCGCUAGUAAUCGCGCAU
Molecule: ribosomal RNA, 429 nt
Filed under: uncultured bacterium
Lineage: Bacteria
Description: bacterial SSU rRNA
Rfam family: Bacterial small subunit ribosomal RNA
Source: RNAcentral